This 71-nucleotide transfer RNA is filed under the name Loxodonta africana (African savanna elephant). It matches the Rfam family "tRNA". From Rfam's summary of the family: Transfer RNA (tRNA) molecules are approximately 80 nucleotides in length. Lineage: Eukaryota; Metazoa; Chordata; Mammalia; Proboscidea; Elephantidae. The record is from Rfam by way of RNAcentral.
GCAUUGGUGGGUGAGUGGCCGAAUUCCCACCUUCCACGUGGGAGACCUGGGUUCGAUUCCUAAGCAAUGCA